UUCCACUCCUGUAUAACAGAAAAUCCUCUGAUUUCAACGAGAUCACACCCUGAGUGGUUAGUUAAUACUGGAAACAUAAAAAGAAUAGACAUACCACAGAGAGCAUCAGAGGAAAUUGCCUCUAUCUUCCCUAGUGGAGAGCAUCCAUGAUGUUCUGCAGUGACUACACUGGGCCAGGAGAAGAAAUGACUGCUGCUCAUAAGUGAACAGAAAAACAGAAGAUUAACUAGGUCUGCAACAGGGAUAACAUCUCACUUUGCUUGCAACAGUAGCUGCAGCAGUACCCUGCAGUAUAGGAGCACAAGCCUACUUCAUUAAAUACUGCAUGAUUAUACGAAGUGUUAAAACACAGAAAUCAGAACCAACUAUACUACCUAUAAUAUGC
This 385-nucleotide long non-coding RNA is filed under the name Numida meleagris (helmeted guineafowl). Its description in RNAcentral is "lncRNA (ENSNMEG00000010005.1)". Lineage: Eukaryota; Metazoa; Chordata; Aves; Galliformes; Numididae. The record is from RNAcentral.